This is a non-coding RNA of Armillaria mellea, 95 nucleotides long. NCBI's taxonomy places the organism in Eukaryota, Fungi, Basidiomycota, Agaricomycetes, Agaricales, Physalacriaceae. The record is from the annotation of a GenBank genome assembly.
GCCCGCCUAGCUCAAUCGGAUAGAGCGUCAGACUCUUAUAUGUGUGAGGUGAUUCUGCAAUCUGAAGGCUGCGAGUUCGACCCUCGCGGUGGGCU